UACGAAGGGGGCUAGCGUUGCUCGGAAUCACUGGGCGUAAAGCGCACGUAGGCGGAUUCCUAAGUCGGGGGUGAAAUUCUGGAGCUCAACUCCAGAACUGCCUUCGAUACUGGGAAUCUUGAGUCCGGAAGAGGUGAGUGGAACUGCGAGUGUAGAGGUGAAAUUCGUAGAUAUUCGCAAGAACACCAGUGGCGAAGGCGGCUCACUGGUCCGGUACUGACGCUGAGGUGCGAAAGCGUGGGGAGCAAACAGG
RNAcentral lists this ribosomal RNA (253 nucleotides) under uncultured bacterium. Its description in RNAcentral is "partial 16S ribosomal RNA". It matches the Rfam family "Bacterial small subunit ribosomal RNA", at positions 524 to 776 of the family's 1533-position model. The record is from RNAcentral.